GACGAACGCUGGCGGCGUGCCUAAUACAUGCAAGUUGAGCGAUGAAGAUUGGUGCUUGCACCAAUUUGAAGAGCAGCGAACGGGUGAGUAACGCGUGGGGAAUCUGCCUUUGAGCGGGGGACAACAUUUGGAAACGAAUGCUAAUACCGCAUAACAACUUUAAACAUAAGUUUUAAGUUUGAAAGAUGCAAUUGCAUCACUCAAAGAUGAUCCCGCGUUGUAUUAGCUAGUUGGUGAGGUAAAGGCUCACCAAGGCGAUGAUACAUAGCCGACCUGAGAGGGUGAUCGGCCACAUUGGGACUGGGACACGGCCCAAACUCCUACGGGAGGCAGCAGUAGGGAAUCUUCGGCAAUGGACGAAAGUCUGACCGAGCAACGCCGCGUGAGUGAAGAAGGUUUUCGGAUCGUAAAACUCUGUUGGUAGAGAAGAACGUUGGUGAGAGUGGAAAGCUCAUCAAGUGACGGUAACUACCCAGAAAGGGGCGGCUAACUACGUG
This 497-nucleotide ribosomal RNA is filed under the name uncultured bacterium. RNAcentral's name for it is "partial 16S ribosomal RNA". It matches the Rfam family "Bacterial small subunit ribosomal RNA", at positions 28 to 507 of the family's 1533-position model. The record is from RNAcentral.